GUUCAAACUUUUCAAAAGUUUCAAAUCUUUCAAAACUAAAUCCAAGAAAUGGAUUACAUGAAUUUAAUACCAUCAACUUGGUCUACUUGAUUAAUUAUUUAAUUAAUACAAACUCUAAAGGAUCAUUCUUGGUCCAACUUGUUCAACUUUGUUUUCUCAGUUCCUUUCAGUUUCAGCAGCAGCCCUUUUACCAAGUCAAUUGUUUUUUCCAAACCCCAUUUUCCAAUUUCAACUUCUUUGGUCUAUAUAUCAUCUGGUAAAACUUUUAGUCGUCAUUUUUCCAUCUGGGGUUUUGUUAUUUUGGUUUCUCAACCUUUCUUGCUGAU
Molecule: unclassified non-coding RNA, 326 nt
Filed under: Hevea brasiliensis (rubber tree)
Lineage: Eukaryota; Viridiplantae; Streptophyta; Magnoliopsida; Malpighiales; Euphorbiaceae
Source: RNAcentral